This 1123-nucleotide long non-coding RNA is filed under the name Salmo salar (Atlantic salmon). RNAcentral's name for it is "lncRNA (ENSSSAG00000089200.1)". The record is from RNAcentral. Lineage: Eukaryota; Metazoa; Chordata; Actinopteri; Salmoniformes; Salmonidae.
CACCUCUGUGAUCAUUUGAAAUCCCCUCUACAACAGCGUCUUUGCAUCAGCUAUCUAAAUGAAGCCAUACUUUGCAUCAGUCAGUGCACUCAUUCAAAAGCCAUGGGAAGAAAAGAAAAUGAACAGUGAUAACUUUUAGACAAGAGCGUAGUAGUAGCUGGAACUACAUAAUUAUCCCACCAUGACAAUAUCCUAUUAAGAAAAGUCAAGUAAUUCAGCAAAUGACUCAGAGCUUGAGAUAUCUGACAGGCGUAGAGCAUGCCCUGGGAGAAAUCAUGCUAACAUACUAUUGCAUGGAAAGUAAUAGCAAGUGACUCAGUGUCAAUUAGCCUACCUCCUCCAACUGACCAGCCAUCAUACAGUACGUACUGAAUGUGGGCGCUGUGGAAAUGUGCACAGUGUUGAACAAGUCCAUAUGAUUACUACAAGAUAACAGCACUGAGAACUAUGGCAUGAGAAUGAGCAUUUUGCACAUUGUCAUUGAGGGUCAAAAGUUGGGGUCAGAGGUUGAGGGUCAUAAUUGAUACAACAUGCCCUACAGAAAAAAGGAUUUUCUGCUUAGUUGCUGAGUCAACUGUUCAGGUCGUGUGGCGACAUGUUUCAGCUCCGUCCUCAGGGCUGCCUGAUGAAAAAGCCAUACCAAGGGGUGUGAGUCUGAGACCCAGUCAAAGAGUUGCUGACGAGGAAACAAGGACUUUAUCUCCACAAUGCCAAGACAGUGCCCCCUAGAGUGGAGGGGGAAACAUAACAUAACAUGGACUCUGACAGCAUAUCCCCAGCUAGCCAUGUUUCCAUGAAACAGAGUAUGUUACAAUCCCGGAUGUCUCUUUGGAAAGCAAAAUCAGUUCAAAUGCACUGGGAGGUGCAGGCAAAGGAUCCGCUUUGGGAAUGUCGUAUUCCUGGUCGUAGCGCUGGUUGUGCUGGCAGGCCUACUUCUAUCCCUGCUCAACCCCGCUUUAUCUCGGCCUCGGAGGAGACUUGGAUCCCGAGGCAGAGGAUGGUGUGCAAGGAGGGUAGAGUGGAGACAGGCGUCUCUUGAGUUGGAUGUGACCUGAUGCGACGUGCACUUGCGUCUGCCUCCAUGGAAGAUCAUUUUUCCACAUCAAGAGCGGUCAAUGUUAAC